RNAcentral lists this transfer RNA (72 nucleotides) under Camelus bactrianus (Bactrian camel). It matches the Rfam family "tRNA". Rfam says of the family: Transfer RNA (tRNA) molecules are approximately 80 nucleotides in length. Their secondary structure includes four short double-helical elements and three loops (D, anti-codon, and T loops). The record is from Rfam by way of RNAcentral. RNAcentral also lists the same sequence under 2 other names. Lineage: Eukaryota; Metazoa; Chordata; Mammalia; Artiodactyla; Camelidae.
GGGGUUAUAGGUCAGUGGUAGAACAUGUGCCUAGCAUGCACAAGGUCCUGGAUUCAAUCCCCAGUAUCGCCA